This 618-nucleotide long non-coding RNA is filed under the name Salmo salar (Atlantic salmon). Its description in RNAcentral is "lncRNA (ENSSSAG00000093179.1)". Lineage: Eukaryota; Metazoa; Chordata; Actinopteri; Salmoniformes; Salmonidae. The record is from RNAcentral.
UCUACUUCCUGAUAACACAAAUGAAACCGUCUGAGACACAGGCUAGCAAAUCAAAAUCUGUCUUUUUCAGCAUCACUCAUACCUGUCAUAUAGACUUUGAUGCAAUUUCAACUGUCAAAAGACUUUUAUAGUAUGUCAGUUACAUUUGCAUCCCAUUUGCACCAAUUUAUAACAUCAAUCUAACGUUGUUUCCCCUGCAGUGCUGCCUGCUGGAGUCGAGCCAGAGGUCCUGCUGGACAGUAAGCAGUAACAAAACUGCAGUGAUGAUGUUCCCUUAACACCUUAAUACAAAGACGGGGCGGUACUGGAUGGCUGCCAUUUUGUAAGGUCUGGGCCAGCUUUACUAUAUGUUUUCGGGCUACUCAAAAGGAAAAGCUGGUGUUACAGAGGUACGGGGGUUGGAAUCCUGGUAAGAUUAAGGCGAGGGAAAACCGGUCUCCACUUCCCUCCAUUCUACUGGCCAAUGUACAGUCACUCGAUAAUAAGAUGGAUGAUCGCCGAUUUUCUACCAACAGGACUCUGCAAUAUUCUUAGCUUUUCUGAAACAUGGCUCUCGGACAAGAUACCUCCCAUGGCUAUCCAGCUCCAUGGAUUCUCCAUCCACCGGGCUAACAGGAC